RNAcentral lists this long non-coding RNA (305 nucleotides) under Gossypium barbadense (sea-island cotton). RNAcentral's name for it is "long non-coding RNA (GBAR_LNC005972)". Lineage: Eukaryota; Viridiplantae; Streptophyta; Magnoliopsida; Malvales; Malvaceae. The record is from RNAcentral.
GUCUGCAGCAUCAUCAAGUGCUGCCGCAUCAUCCUCACAGACAGAGUCGGAGGAUGUUCCUCUAGCUGUACCACCUCCACCUCCUUUGCCAGAUGCUGGUUCAAACUCUGGGGAUGGCACGGUUGUGCCUUCAUCUUUGCCUCUACCACCCCCACCUCCUGUGCCGUCCACGCCUGCCACAGCAAACUUGGGUAUUCCUUUGCCUCCACCACCUCCUGGUCCCCCACCUAAAGAUCAAGUUGCUGUUCGCCCUCCACUACCUCCACCUCCUCCCCUUCCACAGUCUGCACAGCCACCUCCACCUG